RNAcentral lists this unclassified non-coding RNA (90 nucleotides) under Pseudomonas sp. Z003-0.4C(8344-21). The record is from RNAcentral. Lineage: Bacteria; Pseudomonadati; Pseudomonadota; Gammaproteobacteria; Pseudomonadales; Pseudomonadaceae.
UGUAGGAGUGAGCCUGCUCGCGAUAGCGGUAUGUCAGUCGGCAUAAAUAUUGACUGAUCCACCGCUAUCGCGAGCAGGCUCACUCCUACA